AACCCAGUGUGAUUCGUCACACUAUCAUUAACUGAAUCCAUAGGUUAAUGAGGCGAACCGGGGGAACUGAAACAUCUAAGUACCCCGAGGAAAAGAAAUCAACCGAGAUUCCCCCAGUAGCGGCGAGCGAACGGGGAGCAGCCCAGAGCCUGAAUCAGUGUGUGUGUUAGUGGAAGCGUCUGGAAAGGCGCGCGAUACAGGGUGACAGCCCCGUACACAAAAAUGCACAUGCUGUGAGCUCGAUGAGUAGGGCGGGACACGUGGUAUCCUGUCUGAAUAUGGGGGGACCAUCCUCCAAGGCUAAAUACUCCUGACUGACCGAUAGUGAACCAGUACCGUGAGGGAAAGGCGAAAAGAACCCCGGCGAGGGGAGUGAAAAAGAACCUGAAACCGUGUACGUACAAGCAGUGGGAGCACGCUUAGGCGUGUGACUGCGUACCUUUUGUAUAAUGGGUCAGCGACUUAUAUUCUGUAGCAAGGUUAACCGAAUAGGGGAGCCGAAGGGAAACCGAGUCUUAACUGGGCGUUAAGUUGCAGGGUAUAGACCCGAAACCCGGUGAUCUAGCCAUGGGCAGGUUGAAGGUUGGGUAACACUAACUGGAGGACCGAACCGACUAAUGUUGAAAAAUUAGCGGAUGACUUGUGGCUGGGGGUGAAAGGCCAAUCAAACCGGGAGAUAGCUGGUUCUCCCCGAAAGCUAUUUAGGUAGCGCCUCGUGAAUUCAUCUCCGGGGGUAGAGCACUGUUUCGGCAAGGGGGUCAUCCCGACUUACCAACCCGAUGCAAACUGCGAAUACCGGAGAAUGUUAUCACGGGAGACACACGGCGGGUGCUAACGUCCGUCGUGAAGAGGGAAACAACCCAGACCGCCAGCUAAGGUCCCAAAGUCAUGGUUAAGUGGGAAACGAUGUGGGAAGGCCCAGACAGCCAGGAUGUUGGCUUAGAAGCAGCCAUCAUUUAAAGAAAGCGUAAUAGCUCACUGGUCGAGUCGGCCUGCGCGGAAGAUGUAACGGGGCUAAACCAUGCACCGAAGCUGCGGCAGCGACGCUGAUGCGUUGUUGGGUAGGGGAGCGUUCUGUAAGCCUGCGAAGGUGUGCUGUGAGGCAUGCUGGAGGUAUCAGAAGUGCGAAUGCUGACAUAAGUAACGAUAAAGCGGGUGAAAAGCCCGCUCGCCGGAAGACCAAGGGUUCCUGUCCAACGUUAAUCGGGGCAGGGUGAGUCGACCCCUAAGGCGAGGCCGAAAGGCGUAGUCGAUGGGAAACAGGUUAAUAUUCCUGUACUUGGUGUUACUGCGAAGGGGGGACGGAGAAGGCUAUGUUGGCCGGGCGACGGUUGUCCCGGUUUAAGCGUGUAGGCUGGUUUUCCAGGCAAAUCCGGAAAAUCAAGGCUGAGGCGUGAUGACGAGGCACUACGGUGCUGAAGCAACAAAUGCCCUGCUUCCAGGAAAAGCCUCUAAGCAUCAGGUAACAUCAAAUCGUACCCCAAACCGACACAGGUGGUCAGGUAGAGAAUACCAAGGCGCUUGAGAGAACUCGGGUGAAGGAACUAGGCAAAAUGGUGCCGUAACUUCGGGAGAAGGCACGCUGAUAUGUAGGUGAAGUCCCUCGCGGAUGGAGCUGAAAUCAGUCGAAGAUACCAGCUGGCUGCAACUGUUUAUUAAAAACACAGCACUGUGCAAACACGAAAGUGGACGUAUACGGUGUGACGCCUGCCCGGUGCCGGAAGGUUAAUUGAUGGGGUCAGCGCAAGCGAAGCUCUUGAUCGAAGCCCCGGUAAACGGCGGCCGUAACUAUAACGGUCCUAAGGUAGCGAAAUUCCUUGUCGGGUAAGUUCCGACCUGCACGAAUGGCGUAAUGAUGGCCAGGCUGUCUCCACCCGAGACUCAGUGAAAUUGAACUCGCUGUGAAGAUGCAGUGUACCCGCGGCAAGACGGAAAGACCCCGUGAACCUUUACUAUAGCUUGACACUGAACAUUGAGCCUUGAUGUGUAGGAUAGGUGGGAGGCUUUGAAGUGUGGACGCCAGUCUGCAUGGAGCCGACCUUGAAAUACCACCCUUUAAUGUUUGAUGUUCUAACGUUGACCCGUAAUCCGGGUUGCGGACAGUGUCUGGUGGGUAGUUUGACUGGGGCGGUCUCCUCCUAAAGAGUAACGGAGGAGCACGAAGGUUGGCUAAUCCUGGUCGGACAUCAGGAGGUUAGUGCAAUGGCAUAAGCCAGCUUGACUGCGAGCGUGACGGCGCGAGCAGGUGCGAAAGCAGGUCAUAGUGAUCCGGUGGUUCUGAAUGGAAGGGCCAUCGCUCAACGGAUAAAAGGUACUCCGGGGAUAACAGGCUGAUACCGCCCAAGAGUUCAUAUCGACGGCGGUGUUUGGCACCUCGAUGUCGGCUCAUCACAUCCUGGGGCUGAAGUAGGUCCCAAGGGUAUGGCUGUUCGCCAUUUAAAGUGGUACGCGAGCUGGGUUUAGAACGUCGUGAGACAGUUCGGUCCCUAUCUGCCGUGGGCGCUGGAGAACUGAGGGGGGCUGCUCCUAGUACGAGAGGACCGGAGUGGACGCAUCACUGGUGUUCGGGUUGUCAUGCCAAUGGCACUGCCCGGUAGCUAAAUGCGGAAGAGAUAAGUGCUGAAAGCAUCUAAGCACGAAACUUGCCCCGAGAUGAGUUCUCCCUGACUCCUUGAGAGUCCUGAAGGAACGUUGAAG
Molecule: ribosomal RNA, 2697 nt
Filed under: Escherichia coli
Lineage: Bacteria; Pseudomonadati; Pseudomonadota; Gammaproteobacteria; Enterobacterales; Enterobacteriaceae
Description: partial 23S ribosomal RNA
Rfam family: Bacterial large subunit ribosomal RNA
Source: RNAcentral